GCGCUUGUAGCUCAAUUGGAUAGAGCGCCUGACUUCGGAUCAGGAGGUUCUGGGUUCAACUCCUAGCAAGCGCACCA
RNAcentral lists this transfer RNA (77 nucleotides) under Candidatus Pelagibacter sp. RNAcentral's name for it is "tRNA-Arg". It matches the Rfam family "tRNA". From Rfam's summary of the family: Transfer RNA (tRNA) molecules are approximately 80 nucleotides in length. Their secondary structure includes four short double-helical elements and three loops (D, anti-codon, and T loops). Further hydrogen bonds mediate the characteristic L-shaped molecular structure. tRNAs have two regions of fundamental functional importance: the anti-codon, which is responsible for specific mRNA codon recognition, and the 3' end, to which the tRNAs corresponding amino acid is attached (by aminoacyl-tRNA synthetases). tRNAs cope with the degeneracy of the genetic code in two manners: having more than one tRNA (with a specific anti-codon) for a particular amino acid; and 'wobble' base-pairing, i.e. permitting non-standard base-pairing at the 3rd anti-codon position. The record is from RNAcentral. Lineage: Bacteria; Pseudomonadati; Pseudomonadota; Alphaproteobacteria; Candidatus Pelagibacterales; Candidatus Pelagibacteraceae.